This is a long non-coding RNA of Salvelinus namaycush (lake trout), 1289 nucleotides long. RefSeq lists it as uncharacterized. The record is from RefSeq and is a predicted model, not a curated record. Lineage: Eukaryota; Metazoa; Chordata; Actinopteri; Salmoniformes; Salmonidae. The transcript has 3 exons.
AGCAUGGCAUCGACGACAGAACUGGCAACCAAAGAAGAUUUCGAUGAAGAAACAAUUUCUCACCGUGAUCCUGGUUGAAUCCCGCGUACAGUAGUCCGUUCCCAUGUGCGUUUGAUGGUAGUAGAUUCAUUAUUUCGAUCAGAUGAUCACAGUCGUACGUUAGACAAUUUUUCACAGAAUGCUAGCUAGCUACCAUUUCUCCUGUGCCAGACAGCCAGUUAGGAAAAACAACACAGCUCUUGGUUCAUCCAGGACGCUCAAAAGAGCACCGAGUAAUCGAGUGUGAGUUUCAUCAAAGAUGGUGGAUAAAUAAAGAUAGUUCAAUCAGGCCGUUUACCGUUGUCUGCUUAAGGGGAUGGCACUCCCAUAGACACCAAUGCGAUAGCAGUCAGCUUUCAGAGGUUCUCAAAGUUGGGAGAGGUCCGUGGAGGUACUGCAGGGGGUCCGCGGCCAUAUCUCAAAAUAUGUUUUACAUGUAAUUUUUUUAUUAAUAAUACUAACAACAGAUUAAACUACUUUUGGCCAAGGGAUCCAUGGAAUAAGUUUAACGUGUGUAAUAGAGACCCACAGUGUAGGUGUCAUAAUUCCCAUAAAAUCUAGCGGUCAAACAGGAAAAUGGUUUCAAUCGUUUUUCCAACAUUCAUUUUUCCCAUAGGGGAUUUUAGAAACACUUAAAAUAAGGGCAGUGUUUUGUGUAGGCUUACCCUGGCGUGACGUUUUGAUAACUGAGCAAAUUUCUCUUGGGCAAGGUAACUUUUAUCAAUAUAUUUGCCUGUAAUUACCCACAAAAAUGAAAUGCUAAUGUGGCUAUCAUACAGAAAGAAAGUACUACACACUCAAAGCCCAAGGUGGGAAAAUCUUCCACACAGAGGCUUUGCUGGAGCUGUGGGAUAUGAUGGGCGGACCGUGUCUGCAGCUGCCAUUUUCCGGUGGGAAAGAGAAAUGGCCAUGUAUUUACUAGGAAAGGAUCCACCAUGGCAGAAGAGGAAAAGCCACACUGUUGAAUGGGGAACAAGAACAAACAAUGAGGCAUGAGGAUUGGGUGUUGAGGGACCACUUGCCACAUUGUCCAAUUCCAACAGGAGUGCAUCCCUCAGACCAUCCAGUGCAUAGACAUCUUAGGCCAGUGUGAUCCGAGCGUCCGGUUGUAGAGACUACAGCACAUUGACCCUGUGGACGGACAAGCCAAUAACUCAUCAAAUAUGAUACAAUAUUGUGUAAAACAUUGAAUUUGUAGAUGCAUCUAGGGCUGUGGCGGUCACAGUAAUUUACUGUUAAUUAACAUAAAC